This 973-nucleotide ribosomal RNA is filed under the name Inocybe scissa. RNAcentral's name for it is "eukaryotic LSU rRNA". It matches the Rfam family "Eukaryotic large subunit ribosomal RNA", at positions 1 to 957 of the family's 3401-position model. Lineage: Eukaryota; Fungi; Basidiomycota; Agaricomycetes; Agaricales; Inocybaceae. The record is from RNAcentral.
UUGACCUCAAAUCAGGUAGGACUACCCGCUGAACUUAAGCAUAUCAAUAAGCGGAGGAAAAGAAACUAACAAGGAUUCCCCUAGUAACUGCGAGUGAAGCGGGAAGAGCUCAAAUUUGAAAUCUGGCGGUUCUUUGACUGUCCGAGUUGUAAUCUAGAGAAGUGCUACCUGUGCUGGACCAUGUACAAGUCUCCUGGAAUGGAGCAUCAUAGAGGGUGAGAAUCCCGUCUUUGACAUGGACUACCUGUACAUUAUGGUGCGCUCUCAAAGAGUCGAGUUGUUUGGGAAUGCAGCUCAAAAUGGGUGGUAAAUGCCAUCUAAAGCUAAAUAUUGGCGAGAGACCGAUAGCGAACAAGUACCGUGAGGGAAAGAUGAAAAGAACUUUGGAAAGAGAGUUAAACAGUACGUGAAAUUGCUGAAAGGGAAACGCUUGAAGUCAGUCACGUUGGCUAGAAAUCAGCCUUGCUUUUGCUUGGUGUACUUUCUGGUUGAUGGGUCAGCAUCAAUUUUGACCAUUGGAUAAAGUCUUUGGGAAUGUGGCAUCUUUGGAUGUGUUAUAGCCCAUUGUCACAUACGAUGGUUGGGAUUGAGGAACUCAGCACGCCGCAAGGCCAGGUUUCGACCAUGUUCGUGCUUAGGAUGCUGGCAUAAUGGCUUUAAUCGACCCGUCUUGAAACACGGACCAAGGAGUCUAACAUGCCUGCGAGUGUUUGGGUGGAAAACCCAUGCGCGUAAUGAAAGUGAAAGUUGAGAUCCCUGUAAUAAGGGGAGCAUUGACGCCCGGACCAGACCUUCUGUGACGGAUCCGCGGUAGAGCAUGUAUGUUGGGACCCGAAAGAUGGUGAACUAUGCCUGAAUAGGGUGAAGCCAGAGGAAACUCUGGUGGAGGCUCGUAGCGAUUCUGACGUGCAAAUCGAUCGUCAAAUUUGGGUAUAGGGGCGAAAGACUAAUCGAACCAUCUAGUAGCUGGUUC